GAUGAACGCUGGCGGCGUGCCUAAUACAUGCAAGUCGAACGCGCAGCGAAAGGUGCUUGCACCUUUCAAGCGAGUGGCGAACGGGUGAGUAACACGUGGAUAACCUGCCUCAAGGCUGGGGAUAACAUUUGGAAACAGAUGCUAAUACCGAAUAAAACUUAGUAUCGCAUGAUACAAAGUUAAAAGGCGCUACGGCGUCACCUAGAGAUGGAUCCGCGGUGCAUUAGUUAGUUGGUGGGGUAAAGGCUUACCAAGACGAUGAUGCAUAGCCGAGUUGAGAAACUGAUCGGCCACAUUGGGACUGAGACACGGCCCAAACUCCUACGGGAGGCUGCAGUAGGGAAUCUUCCACAAUGGGCGCAAGCCUGAUGGAGCAACGCCGCGUGUGUGAUGAAGGCUUUCGGGUCGUAAAGCACUGUUGUAAGGGAAGAAAUGCUAAAAUAGGGAAUGAUUUUAGUUUGACGGUACCAUACCAGAAAGGGACGGCUAAAUACGUGCCAGCCGCCGCGGUAA
This 513-nucleotide ribosomal RNA is filed under the name uncultured bacterium. RNAcentral's name for it is "partial 16S ribosomal RNA". It matches the Rfam family "Bacterial small subunit ribosomal RNA", at positions 28 to 523 of the family's 1533-position model. The record is from RNAcentral.